ACUCAAAUGAAUUGACGGGGACCCGCACAACCAGUGGAGCGUGUGGUUCAAUUUGAGACGAAGCAAAAAACCUCACCAGGGAUUGACAUGUAUUCGUUUAGUCCUGAUGAAAGUCGGGAUGAUCUUAUGAAAAUAAGAUGAUUACACAGGUGUUGCAUGGCUGUCGUCAGCUCGUGCCGUGAGGUGUUCCAUUAAGUUGGGAAACGAGUGCAACCCCUAUCCAAUGUUAAAUAUUCAUUGGAGACCGCCCCUCAUCUUUGUUUAUGAAUCUUUGAUUCGUAGGUAAAGGUGAGGGGAGGAAGGAGGGGCGGACGUCAAGUCAGCAUGACCCUUAUACCCUGGGCUACACACACCCUACAAUGGCGAAAAACAAUGGGUUGCAAGACCGUGAGGUCAAGCUAAUCCCUGAAAUUUCGCCUCAGUUCAGAUUGGAGUCUGAAACCCGACUCCAUGAAGGCGGAAUUGGUAGUAAUCGCGGAUCAGCAGGCCGCGGUGAAUGCGUUCUCGGGUCUUGCACACACCGCCCGU
Molecule: ribosomal RNA, 528 nt
Filed under: uncultured bacterium
Lineage: Bacteria
Description: partial 16S ribosomal RNA
Rfam family: Bacterial small subunit ribosomal RNA
Source: RNAcentral